UACGUAGGGACCAAGCGUUGUUCGGAUUUACUGGGCGUAAAGGGCGCGUAGGCGGCAAUUCAAGUCAUCUGUGAAAUCUCCGGGCUUAACCCGGAACGGUCAGGUGAUACUGUUUUGCUAGAGUGCGGAAGGGGCAAUCGGAAUUCUCGGUGUAGCGGUGAAAUGCGUAGAUAUCAGGAGGAACACCGGUGGCGAAAGCGCUCGUCUGGCCCAAUACUGACGCUGAUGCGCGAAAGCUAGGGGAGCAAACGGG
Molecule: ribosomal RNA, 253 nt
Filed under: uncultured bacterium
Lineage: Bacteria
Description: partial 16S ribosomal RNA
Rfam family: Bacterial small subunit ribosomal RNA
Source: RNAcentral